RNAcentral lists this ribosomal RNA (253 nucleotides) under uncultured bacterium. Its description in RNAcentral is "partial 16S ribosomal RNA". It matches the Rfam family "Bacterial small subunit ribosomal RNA", at positions 524 to 776 of the family's 1533-position model. The record is from RNAcentral.
UACAGAGGUCUCAAGCGUUGCUCGGCUUGACUGGGCGUAAAGGGCGCGUAGGCGGUUCGUACAGUCAGACGUGAAAUUCCUGGGCUCAACCUGGGGGCUGCGUUUGAUACGUGCGGGCUUGAGUUCGGAAGAGGGUCGUGGAAUUCCCAGUGUAGAGGUGAAAUUCGUAGAUAUUGGGAAGAACACCGGUGGCGAAGGCGGCGACCUGGUCCGAUACUGACGCUGAGGCGCGAAAGCGUGGGGAGCAAACAGG